AGUCCAUGGUGUCGGCAUUUUCUUAGCAUCGUCUUCAAUUGCUCCCACGCCUCGUAUAGGGUUUCACUUUCGAAUUCUUUAAAAUUUGUGAUUUCCUGCUGUAGCU
This is a non-coding RNA of Gossypium arboreum, 106 nucleotides long. The record is from Rfam. NCBI's taxonomy places the organism in Eukaryota, Viridiplantae, Streptophyta, Magnoliopsida, Malvales, Malvaceae.